RNAcentral lists this ribosomal RNA (229 nucleotides) under uncultured bacterium. Its description in RNAcentral is "partial 16S ribosomal RNA". It matches the Rfam family "Bacterial small subunit ribosomal RNA", at positions 568 to 796 of the family's 1533-position model. The record is from RNAcentral.
UGCGCAGGCGGUAUGAUAAGUCAGUGGUGAAAUCCUACAGCUCAACUGUAGAACUGCCAUUGAUACUGUUGUUCUUGAGUACAGUUGUAGUGGGCGGAAUAUGUCAUGUAGCGGUGAAAUGCAUAGAUAUGACAUAGAACACCGAUCGCGAAGGCAGCUCACUAAGCUGAAACUGACGCUGAGGCACGAAAGCGUGGGGAGCAAACAGGAUUAGAUACCCUGGUAGUCC